AGGACGAACGCUGGCGGCGUGCUUAACACAUGCAAGUCACGGGGGCCCAGCAAUGGGUAACCGGCGAACGGGUGCGUAACACGUGAGUGACCUGCCGAUUUGUGGGGGAUAGCCGGGCCAACGCCCGGGUAAUACCGCAUACGCUCUUCUUGGGGCAUCUCUAGAAGAGGAAACCUCCGGGGCAAAUCGAGGGACUCGCGGCCUAUCAGCUAGUUGGCGAGGUAACGGCUCACCAAGGCUACGACGGGUAGCUGGUCUGAGAGGAUGGCCAGCCACAUUGGGACUGAGAUACGGCCCAGACUCCUACGGGAGCAGCAGUGGGGAAUAUUGCGCAAUGGCCUAACGGCUGACGCAGCGACGCCGCGUGUGGGAUGACGCCUUCGGGUGUAACCACUGUUGCUCGAGAACGAAUAGCGAGCGUUUAGCUCGCCUGACGGUCGUCGAGUGAGAAGCGACCG
RNAcentral lists this ribosomal RNA (458 nucleotides) under uncultured soil bacterium. Its description in RNAcentral is "bacterial SSU rRNA". It matches the Rfam family "Bacterial small subunit ribosomal RNA", at positions 26 to 496 of the family's 1533-position model. The record is from RNAcentral.